This 630-nucleotide ribosomal RNA is filed under the name uncultured marine eukaryote. Its description in RNAcentral is "SSU rRNA". It matches the Rfam family "Eukaryotic small subunit ribosomal RNA", at positions 621 to 1256 of the family's 1831-position model. The record is from RNAcentral.
AAAAAGCUCGUAGUUGGAUUUCUACCGAAGACAGCCGGUCCACACUACGUGUGCGCAUCUGGUGUGGCUUUGGUACCCUCAUGGAGAACAGUUCUGCGCUUCAUUGCGUGGACUGGUAUUCAUGACUUUUACUUUGAGGAAAUUAGAGUGUUCACGGCAGGCGUUUGCCUCGAAUACAUUAGCAUGGAAUAAUAAUAUAGGACUUUGGCCCUAUUUUGUUGGUUUCUAGAGCUGAAGUAAUGAUUAAUAGGGACACUUGGGGCAUUCGUAUUAUCACGUCAGAGGUGGAAUUCUUGGAUUGUGUUACGACGAACUACUGCGAAAGCAUUUGCCAAGGAUGUUUUCAUUGAUCAAGAACGAAAGUAAGGGGAUCGAAGACGCUUAGAUACCGUCGUAGUCUUUACCAUAAACUAUGCCAACUAGGGAUUGGAGGGCGUUCUCCACUCGACUCCUUCAGCACCUUAUGAGAAAUCAAAGUCUUUGGGUUCCGGGGGGAGUAUGGUCGCAAGGCUGGAACUUAAAGGAAUUGACGGAAGGGCUCCACCAGGAGUGGAGCCUGCGGCUUAAUUUGACUCAACACGGGAAAACUCACCAGGUCCAGACAUAGUAAGGAUUGACAGAUUGAUAGCU